ACAUGCCAGACUGGAAACGGAAGAGAAGGGGGGAUAUGUUUGGCUUGGGGACGCACUGUUUCAGUUGAGCUCCUGUUUGGUUUUGUGUCUCCGCGGUGUUUCCAAGAGUCUCGGCGUUUCUACCUCUUAGCACCCUUUCUUGCCACCCUUUGUCCUGUGGAAGCCCAGAGACAUCAGCGGUUGCAACUGUGCUACUCGCUGCUCGGCAUGGAAGGGUCAGGUACCGCAGUUCAGCGCUCUUGGCCCCGCAGGUCCUCGGGCAUCCCUGUGCCCCGUCCUGUACAUUGUUAUGCUCCGACUUCCUAGGGUCGAAGUUAUUGCCUGCUGGGUUUUAGAAGCUAUUGCUUUACGUCUGAGAAAAAAAUCCCAGAAAGUUUCAGUAACAAAAUAUCAGAUACGAAAAUUGCCAGAUGUGCUACAGCUAAGGAAAAUACAUUCAUGGGGAAGAGACAUAAUAGUUUUGACAUUACGGCAGUUACAGCACCUGAACAUGUUUGUUAAGAAUAACUGCUUCUCAGGUGGAGAAAUAAUUUCAUCUCUUCAAGAUGUCCUUAGGUUUUGA
Molecule: long non-coding RNA, 562 nt
Filed under: Rhinopithecus bieti (black snub-nosed monkey)
Lineage: Eukaryota; Metazoa; Chordata; Mammalia; Primates; Cercopithecidae
Description: lncRNA (ENSRBIG00000046798.1)
Source: RNAcentral